Molecule: transfer RNA, 74 nt
Filed under: Hapalemur griseus (bamboo lemur)
Lineage: Eukaryota; Metazoa; Chordata; Mammalia; Primates; Lemuridae
Also listed under: 1 other name
Description: tRNA-Gln
Rfam family: tRNA
About the family: Transfer RNA (tRNA) molecules are approximately 80 nucleotides in length.
Source: RNAcentral
UAGAAUAGGGUGUGUUUUGGGUAGCACGAAGGAUUUUGAAUCCUUAGGAGCAGGUUCGAUGCCUGUAAUUCUAG